GUAGAGGGAGGUAGAAUUCUAGGUGUAGCGGUGAAAUGCGUAGAUAUCUAGAGGAAUACCUGUGGCGAAAGCGACCUCCUGGACAAAAACUGACGCUGAGGUGCGAAAGCGUGGGGAGCAAACAGGAUUAGAUACCCUGGUAGUCCAUGCUGUAAACGAUGUCGACUUGGAGGUUGUUUCCUUGAGAAGUGGCUUCCGAAGCUAACGCAUUAAGUCGACCGCCUGGGGAGUACGGCCGCAAGGCUAAAACUCAAAUGAAUUGACGGGGGCCCGCACAAGCGGUGGAGCAUGUGGUUUAAUUCGAUGCAACGCGAAGAACCUUACCUGGUCUUGACAUCCAUAAAAUUUUUUAGAGAUAAAAAAGUGCCUUUACCGGAAUUAUGAGACAGGUGCUGCAUGGCUGUCGUCAGCUCGUGUUGUGAAAUGUUGGGUUAAGUCCCGCAACGAGCGCAACCCUUGUUCUCUGUUGCCAUCAGGUUAUGCUGGGAACUCAGAGGAGACUGCCGGUUAUAAGCUGGAGGAAGGUGGGGACGACGUCAAGUCAUCGUGGCCCUUACGACCAGGGCUACACACGUGCUACAAUGGCAUAUACAAAGAGAAGCAAAUCUGCGAAGACAAGCAAAACUCAUAAAGUAUGUCUUAGUUCGGACUGGAGUCUGCAACUCGACUCCACGAAGUCGGAAUCGCUAGUAAUCGUGGAUCAGAAUGCCACGGUGAAUACGUUCCCGGGCCUUGCACUCACCGCCCGUC
RNAcentral lists this ribosomal RNA (750 nucleotides) under uncultured bacterium. RNAcentral describes it as "bacterial SSU rRNA". It matches the Rfam family "Bacterial small subunit ribosomal RNA", at positions 651 to 1398 of the family's 1533-position model. The record is from RNAcentral.